CAUCAUGUCCAAGCCUGAUCUUGUAAACUUUCAAAAGCUAAGCAGGGCUGGACUUGGAUUGUACAUGGAUGGGAGACCAUUGGUAAUACCUGGUGCCACAGUGA
RNAcentral lists this ribosomal RNA (104 nucleotides) under Periophthalmus magnuspinnatus. Lineage: Eukaryota; Metazoa; Chordata; Actinopteri; Gobiiformes; Gobiidae. The record is from RNAcentral.